CACGUAGGGCGCAAGCGUUGUCCGGAAUUAUUGGGCGUAAAGAGCUCGUAGGCGGUCUGUUGCGUCCGCUGUGAAAACUCGGGGCUUAACCCCGAGCCUGCAGUGGAUACGGGCAGACUAGAGGUAGGUAGGGGAGAAUGGAAUUCCCGGUGUAGCGGUGAAAUGCGCAGAUAUCGGGAGGAACACCGGUGGCGAAGGCGGUUCUCUGGGCAUUACCUGACGCUGAGGAGCGAAAGCGUGGGGAGCGAACAGG
RNAcentral lists this ribosomal RNA (253 nucleotides) under uncultured bacterium. Its description in RNAcentral is "partial 16S ribosomal RNA". It matches the Rfam family "Bacterial small subunit ribosomal RNA", at positions 524 to 776 of the family's 1533-position model. The record is from RNAcentral.